Cucurbita maxima (winter squash) is the source of this 1694-nucleotide long non-coding RNA. RefSeq lists it as uncharacterized. The record is from RefSeq and is a predicted model, not a curated record. The transcript is spliced from 3 exons. NCBI's taxonomy places the organism in Eukaryota, Viridiplantae, Streptophyta, Magnoliopsida, Cucurbitales, Cucurbitaceae.
AGAACCCGAAAUCUAGUUCAUCUCCCCCAGGUCCAUCCCCGUUCUCUGUGCCUAUCUCCAAAAGUCCUUCAGUCUUGGCUACAGAUUAAAUUAUCAUCAGUGCUAGCCAUUUUGAACGUAUCUGCAAAAAGUUGAUUUCGGCAGCCAAGAGUGCAUCUGUUAAAACAAGAAUGUGUUUUGGGGAAAACCCAUUCAUCUACAUAUUGGGGAAGUGGGUAGAUUUAUGGGGUUCCUCGGAUACGUAACUUAGAAGACAACAUAUUAUUUGCUCUACUUGAUUUUGUCAGAAUUUCUAAGUGAAGGACUUCACUUCUUGGAACCAAACAAUAGUGGCUUUAACUUCAGUGUAUCGGGAGUAUUGUCACCGCUUGGCAGUUUAACAGUCAGAAAUGGACACCACUAGGAUGGUUUGGCAAAAUUUCAUUCAGUUUGAGAGGAGAACUAGUAGUUUAACGGUUAAAUGGAAAGGCUUGUAUAUCUCUUGUGACGUAUCUCUUGUGAGAUCCUACUUUGUUAGAGAGAAGAAUGAAACAUUUACUAUGAGAGUGUGGAACCUCACACUCUUCUUAACCGAUACAUUUUAAAAUGUGAUGACAGCGAUAACGUGUUUAUCGCUAAGCAGCAGACAAUAUCUGAUAGUGGUGAACUUGAGUUGAAUUAUGCAACAUCUGAUAGCGGUGGACUUGAGUUGAAUUAUGAAUAAUGUAGGGACAAAGUAGCUCUAAAUCUUUGACUCUGAGUUCAACUAUUAAGUGCUUUUAUCUGCUACUAAAUCACGGAAUCGAUUCUGUCAAGUGGAAAGAAAAAGAAUAGGAAGUUAGUGAGCCCACACCCUCCUUUUGCUAAAGUCGACUUUUCAUUCUGGUUAAAAGUUAAGAGCGUAUUUCACUUGCAAUUUCAAGCGAACAUGUUAAAAACGGGUUGCCACUGUUGGUCCAUUGAACUUUGGUUGCUCUGAGUAAACAGUUAUUUGACGAAAAUGCCCAAAGAAGAUUACAGCAUAAGGAGGCAGAAGCAAAGCCGACAUGGGUAUCAAUGGAAUUCAGAGGAAGCAAAGCAGCUGAGUAAAAUAAAGCACAGGGAACAGAGAGGGUGCCGCCAGGAUGCCACCCAUUUGGGAUCAAAGCUGUUCAAGAAUUUGAGGAAGAUUUUGAGCCAUUGAUAAUCGACCCGUACUCAUUUGGAGUAUAAUAUUUGUGUAUUGAUCAUUCAAAAUGAAUUUGAAGUAUGAUAUUGAUGGUUGUAUUGAAUUAGGUAUAGGUAUAUGAAGUCAAAAGUGGUUCAGAAUAAAAUUGCAGAGCUGAAAUGGUUGGAAAGCGGAUGUGAAGGGGCAUGCCACUACCUCACUCCUGCAUGCAUUGAUUCCACUCUGCGUUAGCUUACACAAGUAGAUAUAGAGAUGGAAGAAGAUGAGAGGCUGAUAUAGGAAGGAGUUUGUGGAACAUCAUCCAGGAUCGAGGAUUGUUGGGAGGAAGUUUCACGUCGACUAAUCAAGUAAGGAAUACAUAUCUUCAUUGGUAUUAAGCUUUUUGGGAAAAUCAGAAGUAAGAUCAUGAAGGCAGAUGCUGAAAGUGAACAAUAUCAUAUCAUCAUGAGAAUCGUGGUUUUUAACAAUAAUAGAUGAUCCUCUGUUUCUUGUUUGUACCGACUUGUCUGUUCACUUUCGAGUGCCAGCAAAUUUUAGUCCUUGACCA